This 88-nucleotide ribosomal RNA is filed under the name Bacillus atrophaeus. RNAcentral describes it as "partial 23S ribosomal RNA". It matches the Rfam family "Bacterial large subunit ribosomal RNA", at positions 2837 to 2925 of the family's 2925-position model. Lineage: Bacteria; Bacillati; Bacillota; Bacilli; Caryophanales; Bacillaceae. RNAcentral also lists the same sequence under 1 other name. The record is from RNAcentral.
CUGAAAGAUGAUCAGGUUGAUAGGUCUGAGGUGGAAGUGUGGCGACACAUGGAGCUGACAGAUACUAAUCGAUCGAGGACUUAACCAC